GUAUAUUAUGCAUCAAAUUCCAUUUCCUUCUACACUGGUGUAUAUGUGUGGUGUGGUAGCGACAAGGAAAGCCCACAAAAUUCAUUUUUGCAAGCAGUCCCAAGGACCUGAGGAAGCCCUCAGAAAAGGUCUACACAAGAGGUGCACAAAUAGAUGGAGAAAUGAAGGACGACAGAGCGUGCACGGUCGAAGAAGGGCCAGCGACAACUCGUCAUGCUAUUUCAAUAAUGAUCCUUCCGCAGGUUCACCUACGGAAA
RNAcentral lists this unclassified non-coding RNA (257 nucleotides) under uncultured fungus. RNAcentral's name for it is "sequence contains ITS1". Lineage: Eukaryota; Fungi. The record is from RNAcentral.